CCCACCAACAACACGUUAUUUUAUAAAACGAUUUCGCUAUAACACGAUUCAUAAAUUACAAAACCCUCCUAUUACACGGUAUCCUAUAAAACGGUUUUUUCUUUCAAAAAACCUUUGUACAACUUAAGGUAGUACCCCCUGUGUCGAUUUAAAAAAAUCGAAUUUUUUUUUUUACAUAUUUCGUAAGAAAAACAUUUUAAAAAUAUGCUUCGAAAAUUUCAGACCGAUAUUCAAAGUAUUCUCAAAGUUAUAACCGAAAGUAUGGAGCGCGCCGUAGUGUGUAUAACUCAGAACGCCUCUAUUUUGUUGCCUCUAUUUACUCUCUGUUAGGUAUUGUGUUGUUGAUAAGCAAAUUUUCGAAUAAAAUAAUUGAUGUGAUAGUAAAAUCAAGCAUAUGUAAAGCAUGUCAGUAUUUAGCAACAAAAAACCCCAUCGAAGCUGAGAGUUUAUCUGAAGAUCACAAAAAUGAAUGCACAGCAAAUCACGAGGGUAGUAGUGGCAAAAUGGAGGUCGACAGUGUUUCUGAAAUGUUCAAGCGUUCUGAGGAGCGUUAUGGAUUGAAAUACGUUAAAUACAUUGGUCAAACAGCCAGAAACUACGUCGACACCGUUGAUAAUGCUCGUAUUUUGAGAGCGAAAAAUCUACAGAAGCUUACUCUAAAGAGGCCAAAACCUACGUAGAGUUCUCAAAGCUGUUUAAAAUGAUAAUUAUGAGGAAGCUGAAGGACUACUGUAUACACCAGCCAUAGCAGAAUAAUACGUCUACAAAGGCUCUGUGCUUCCGCAAAUUGAAUUGGGGGAAUCUAAUUUGACGUUAAAAAAAAGGGACAAAUAUUGUCCAAAUUAGGGGGGUACUACCUUAAAGAAACAAUGUUGCGGAAAGUAUUUCUUUUCAUCUUCAUGGCCUGAAAACAAAAGUGUCUUACGCUAUUGUGAACUGAAAACAUCAACGUACAAUGCGUGUUGGAAGAAGAUAUGGCCCUCUUCAGUUGAAAUAGAGAACGUGCGUGAAUCGUCACAAAAUGAAAUUGGUGGCAUAUUAGAACUUGCUAAAUCAAUCGGAGGCGAAGGUUUUCUGAAUAUGGCUAUUGAGGACGUUCAAGGUUUAUUAAUGGAAGAAGAAGUUGACGAAGCGGAUUUGGUGGAAAUGGCAUCCGAAACUGUAAAAUUGUGCAGCUAAUAAGUUAACAUUAAAAAAGUUACAAGAAGGCCUAAGCUUAGCUGAAAAUCUUGAGUUAUUUUUCUUGAAUGCAGACCCUUCCGCAGAAAGAAGCCUAAAAUUCAAAAGGGAGCAUUAAAAUUGUCUAGCUCCAUACCAAGAAAUUUACAAUUACCUGGUAAGAAACAACAAGCAAAGUAAAAUUACAGAUUUUUUAAAGACGGAAGAAGAUGCAAGAACUUUAAAUGAAGAAAAACGUUCUGAAAGUGAAGGCAAUAUCAUUCCACCGAAAAAACGUUCUCGGUUGAUUAAAUUGAGCAGUAACGACGAAGAAAUAAAUUAAAUUAAAGUUGCGUUAAA
Molecule: long non-coding RNA, 1518 nt
Organism: Polistes dominula (European paper wasp)
Lineage: Eukaryota; Metazoa; Arthropoda; Insecta; Hymenoptera; Vespidae
Source: RefSeq, a predicted model, not a curated record